Molecule: long non-coding RNA, 92 nt
Organism: Sphaeramia orbicularis (orbiculate cardinalfish)
Lineage: Eukaryota; Metazoa; Chordata; Actinopteri; Kurtiformes; Apogonidae
Exons: 3
Source: RefSeq, a predicted model, not a curated record
CAAAGUGAGAAACAAAACAAGGUUAUGUAUAGGAGAUGCUUCUGAAACAUGGAGAUGGAUGAAAGCGGAGAAGAAUUUGAAGACCGAUGCCG